Molecule: long non-coding RNA, 1130 nt
Filed under: Brassica napus (rape)
Lineage: Eukaryota; Viridiplantae; Streptophyta; Magnoliopsida; Brassicales; Brassicaceae
Description: long non-coding RNA (BNAP_LNC003264)
Source: RNAcentral
AAAUUAGAUCUAACGGAUCAAUAUCUUCUCGGUUUCUUCCCUUUUUCUCUUCCUUCUCUGCAAGACUGCAACAUUAAUUUUUUUUUCUCAAAGAUCUUUAUCUUCUCUCUUUGUCACCCGUCUUAGCUUCCUCAGCAAUGUAGUUUACUUCUAGUCCUAAUCAAUUCAAAAUUUGUUUAUAAUAACUCAAUCUUUUUUGUUUUGGACAGAUCUGUUUAACUAGCGGAGGGAGAACGAUGACGUUAUACAUUAAUCCCACCGUCACAACGGCAGCUCAAUCUCACCGUCGGACGAGACUUGUUACCCCCUCCUGGUUUUCUGUCAAGGCGUCUUGCUGACCCACUGCUGCAUCUUGGACCUGUCUCGAUGCCAUCUCAGAGCAAGCUCUAGGACUCCGCCGCUGCAUUUCCGGAGCUCUACAAUUCCGCCGCUGCAUUUCCGGUCAAACUCUACAACUCUGCCGAUGCGUUUCUUGUCCAGAUCUUUGACUCCGCCACUGCAUCUCCGGUUAUUAUCCAGACAAGCACAAACAUUUGAAGAAAUGCAAGAACAACUACAAGCUCAUCAACACAAGAUUGAAGAACAAGAGACGACUAGAUGCUGAUUAGUGAUUACCAUCAAUUCUAUUAGUUGUAUAGAUUUUAAGCUUUUUAAUAUCUAAAGCAGAUUUUAACGAUUAAUGUUUAUAUAUUUUUGAAGUUUUAAUUAUACAUUGUCAUAAAUCAAUUCAAAAAUUAUUAUUUUAAUUUUUAUAUAAAAUUUAAUAAUUAUAUAUAUACUGUAGUCUUUCAUUAGUUACAGAUAAUUGUGACUACGGGUAAACAGUGUAGUUGUAUCCUAGUGGCAAAAGUUUUGCAACUACACUGUCACUCUGUUUGCUUGCGACUCCAUUGCCACUUAACAUGUGAGGGCUGUACAAAUUUCUCGACUAUAUUUUACGUCACAAAGUAGUUACAAAUCUGUGACUAAUAAAAGAGUUGCAAAUUAGUUGCUCUUUUCUAACAGUUUUGCAACCAAAACAAUUUGCGACGAGCUAUUUUCAACUAUAAGUCCUAGUAGCAAAAUCGUCUUAAAAACCUUAUUUGUGACUACAUUGCAACUAUUUGUACAGUUACAAAAAAUGUGUUUUC